Molecule: ribosomal RNA, 327 nt
Filed under: uncultured eukaryote
Lineage: Eukaryota
Description: partial 18S ribosomal RNA
Rfam family: Eukaryotic small subunit ribosomal RNA
Source: RNAcentral
CCCUUAGAUGUUCUGGGCCGCACGCGCGCUACACUGACGAAUGCAACGAGCUUAUAACCUUGGCCGAAAGGUCUGGGUAAUCUCCAAAUUUCGUCGUGAUGGGGAUAGAUUAUUGCAAUUAUUAAUCUUCAACGAGGAAUGUCUAGUAAGCGCAAGUCAUCAGCUUGCGUUGAUUACGUCCCUGCCCUUUGUACACACCGCCCGUCGCUCCUACCGAUUGAAUGGUCCGGUGAAGCGUUCGGACCGUGGCCUUUGGACGGUUCGCCGUCUGUUGGCUGCGGGAAGUUCGUUAAACCUUAUCAUUUAGAGGAAGGAGAANUCGUANCA